Vicugna pacos (alpaca) is the source of this 1573-nucleotide non-coding RNA. The record is from RefSeq and is a predicted model, not a curated record. NCBI's taxonomy places the organism in Eukaryota, Metazoa, Chordata, Mammalia, Artiodactyla, Camelidae.
CCAUGCGGGAGCAGCUCACGUUCAUGGGCACCACUGGGGAUGGAUGGGAGGGAGGACCUGGAGGCCUUGGGAUCAGACUGUCUGACCCCCACCCUCUCCAAGCCCCUACCCAAAGUGUGAUGGAUGGGAAAACAGGCCCAGAGAGGGGACGGCUCUUAGACAGUUCUACGAGGAUGUUUUACAUGAGUUACUCCAUUUAAAUCCAUCAGACUCUGAGCUCCAGGGCAGGCACCAUGCCUGCUUCUCAGUGUCUGUUGAGCCCAGCAUAGAGCUUGGCAGAUGAAAUGAGUGCUAAAUAAAUGAUUGAAUGAAUGAAUGAGUUUUUUUUUUAAACAGAGGUACUGGGGAUUGAACCCAGGACCUUGUGCAUGCUAAGCAUGCACUCUACCACUGAGCUUUACCCCCUCCUGAAUAAAUAUUCUUAACCAUAAUAAGCUACCAUCUGCUGAUCAUGUUUGUCACGUACCAGGUAAUUCAUUCAAUCAUUUGACAAGUAUUUAUGACCUACUCAAACAACCAGAUACAGAAACAAUAAGGAAAAAAACCCCCACAAAUACCUAGCUUCUUGGAGCUUACAUUCUAGCUGGGUAAAGAGGCAAUAAAUAUGUAAAAUACACCCAAGUGUCAGAGUAGACUGAAGGGAAAUCAAGCAGGUGAGAGCAGAAUGUGUGUGGUUGGGGAGUGGCGGGUGGAGAUUUGAAAAGGAUGGUGAAGGCAGCCUUGCUCUCUCCCUCAUGAUGACCCCAUGACGUGGACAUGACUAAACCCAUCUUACAGUUUUGAAGACCGAAGCUCUGAGAGGUGAAGGUGUCUGCAGUGGCUGGGCUGGGAUUUUAACCACUAAGUCGGUGGGAAAACUGAGACCUGCAGAGAGAAAGCAGCUUGCCAGCCAGCGGUGGCAGAACCCACUGCACCUGGCUCUCCAAGUGCGCUCCGUAAAGGGGGUCACUCUCAUAGAGGGGCAGUUCUCCAGGUCUGUGGAUGGAGCCAACUGAGGCCCACAGAGGCAAGGUCUGUCCAGGUCACCUCUCUGAUGCUAGCUUGCUGCAGCUCUACGAUUUCCUCCCCAUCCCUGGGCCCCCAGUCAUCUUUUGAAUACAGAGCAGGUUGAAGACACAUGAAGGAAAGGAAAGCACCCUCAGCAAGGAUGCUCUCGGAGCCAGGCAUUGUGACCUGUGUUAUUUCAUUUCAUCUUAACGACCGCCUAUCUAGGGCAUUCAUCACCCUCUCCUACAGAGCCCGCACCAGGCACGGGGCAUCUGAGGUAAACGCGGCACGUUCCUGCCUCCCAGUGAGGAGCCUCAGCUCUGGUUUGAGAGACAAGUUCUAAAUUCCAGCUGCACCCCUCCCUGCCAGCUGUGGGAGCUUCUCCAAGGCCCAGCCUCCUGGACUAUGGAAUGAGAGCAGCGUAGUGGCCUGCAGUCUGCCGUGAGGCUUAGACGAGGUGGCUUUCUGAUUCCCCACAGACAUCAUUCCAGAUGGUCACCAGUCUCCUGGAGACAGUGCAUCCGCCCGCCCCCUACUCCCACAGAAGGCCCUGCCCUCUCCUGCAGAGAGAAAAAGGCAAACCAUC